Molecule: non-coding RNA, 75 nt
Organism: Streptomyces sp. Mg1
Lineage: Bacteria; Bacillati; Actinomycetota; Actinomycetes; Kitasatosporales; Streptomycetaceae
Rfam family: ASpks TB sRNA
Source: Rfam
CUUGAUGGAGCCGAGCAGCAGCGGCUGAUCGGCCGGGCGCUCCUGGCCAUAAGUGGCGAGCAGCGCCUGCGCCUC